GCGAGAGUGGUGGAAUUGGUAGACACGCUAGAUUUAGGAUCUAGUGCUUUAACCGGCGUGGGGGUUCGAGUCCCCCCUCUCGUA
Molecule: transfer RNA, 84 nt
Filed under: Balneola sp.
Lineage: Bacteria; Pseudomonadati; Balneolota; Balneolia; Balneolales; Balneolaceae
Also listed under: 1 other name
Rfam family: tRNA
About the family: Transfer RNA (tRNA) molecules are approximately 80 nucleotides in length. Their secondary structure includes four short double-helical elements and three loops (D, anti-codon, and T loops).
Source: Rfam by way of RNAcentral